Molecule: long non-coding RNA, 6404 nt
Filed under: Solanum tuberosum (potato)
Lineage: Eukaryota; Viridiplantae; Streptophyta; Magnoliopsida; Solanales; Solanaceae
Description: long non-coding RNA (STUB_LNC004922)
Source: RNAcentral
CCUCACUCCCACUUUCUCUACCAAUUACCCCACCCUUACCUACAUUAUCCCCAUUAUCCCAUAAUAUAUACUCCACUCAACUCCCUCAACCAAAAACACAGAUACUACACCACUUCAUCCAUACACACGUACUACAUACUCCCUAUACGUACCACACACCCUAGAUAUAUUAGCAAACAACACACAAUCAGAAAGGGAACACGCAAAAAACAAAAGAAAACACAGAGAAAGAAAAAAGCAACCAAAUACACAACACACACAAACGCAAGAAAAAAAAGAUAACGGAAUCACGCCCCAAACCAAAAACUCCAUUUUUGUUUUAUUCUUCUUUCAAACAAUAAUCAUACAUUCACAUAUUUUCUUCUUUUUUCAUUACUACUUUAUCUAAACACAACACAUAUACCAUUGCAAACAACCUACAAAAGAUUUGUGAGGGUUUUAAUCGAGGUUCGAUCAAAAUUUUGCGGUACUUAUUUUCUUCAUUUGAGGUAUAACUUUGCCUUAAAUCUUUAAUUUAUUUAUGGAAUUUGAUGUAAUUAUAUGAAUAGUUUUCUUAUAGUUUUGUUUUAUUUAUAAUUUGCUUGAUAUGAAUAUUAGAUUAAAGAGUUAUAUCUUUGUUUACUAAAUGAGGGUAACUUUAAUUGAUGAUUAUUUUUUAUUUAUUUAUUUUUAUUCGUUAGUUGUGACCUCUUAAAAAUGAAAGAUCAUGGCAUUGUUCUUGUCUUCAUUUAUAUAAUAAUGAAAAAGUAAGGAAUUGUUAGGCUAAACAUAAGUAAAUAAAUUAUUGUUGUUUUAUUUUAUCAAACAGAAAAUGAGACUUAUUUUUAACAAUUCGGUAUUGUGUUGUUGGAUUAGAAAGUGUAUGUUUAAUUUUGACGUCAACUUUAAGAAUGGUAAAGAAUAAAAUGAUAUGAAAAUGAUCCAAAAUUUAUUCUAAAAGUUUAGUAUUUUACUUUAUUUGCUUUUCUUUAUAAGGAAUAAAUAUUUUCGUUUAACGCUAGACCGAACACUUCGGCAUGAUAAAAAUAUUUGUUUCAAUUAAGAAUGUGGUUACACAUCUUUUUUGAGAUAUUAAAAUAAACUCAAGGAUGCGAUGACGCACCUUGUCCACUAAUAUAAUUAGUAUUAAUUUAAGAUAGUGACUUACAAAAAAUAAGGUUAUUAAGUGUGAUGCAAAGAAGACAGUUAUGUCUCUAAAAUGUCAAGAUCGAGAAUGCAGUUAUGCGUUCGGUUUAAGACAAAUAAAAAUUCAACAAUUAAAAAAUAAGUGAACCAUGGCCUUAGACACAAAUUAUCCAAAACAUAUUAAAAUAAGUAUAAGUCAAUAAAAGCGACCGUGCUAGAACCAUGAGACUCGAGGGAUGCCUAAUACCUUCCCCUCGGUCAACGGAAUUCCUUACCUGAAUUUCUAGUUCGUAGAUCAAAACUAAAAGAGUCAUUUCCUAUUGAUUAGGGAUUCGAAAAGGUGACUUGGAACACCACAACACAAUUUCAAGUGGCGACUCUGAAAAAUUAAAACAAAUCAAUACCGUCACUUAAAUUGGAAAAAACUCUUCCGCCGCUGUGCACAAAAAGAGGUGUGACAAUGGGGUUCCCCCAGAGAACAGCAGAGGGUGUCAUUUCAAUUUGUUCAUGUCAUAAAGAGGCUAAAGUUGGUGGUGGAUACACUUGUCCGAGAUGCAAAGCACGCAUAUGUGAGCUGCCUACUGAGUGUUGCAUUUGCGGACUGACCCUUGUAUCUUCUCCACAUUUGGCAAGGUCAUAUCACCAUCUCUUCCCAAUAAGGCCAUUUGAUGACGUUUCACCCUCAACUCUGAAAGAUUUUCACAAGUUACCAAAGAAUUGCUUUGGUUGCCAACUGAGUUUUCUAAAUCCUGGUAAGAGCACUCUUCUUAUUUACAAAAUCAAAACUAUCUUGAGGUAAAAGAUUUAUGCCCAAAAACAAGGAAAUCUGUCUUAUUUUCUUACUCUUCAAGAUUACUCUGUAAAAUAACUACUGAAGUGAAUCUGCGAUCCAAUGAAGCACGUGGUCACACAAUAUAUUUGUAAAAACGACUUGCAUUUUAUGGUUCAGAAUUGAAACUUCCAGUGGUAAAAAAGAUUCAUGCCAAAAUGAGGAAAUAUGUCUUUUCUGUUUGCUCUCAAGAUUGCAUUGUAAGUAACCUUUAGAGUGAAUCUGGGACCCAAUGAAGCACCUGAGCUGGUCUUCUUUAUCAAAAUAAAUAAAUAAAAAUGGAACACCUGAGAUUUGCAUUUGUUUUGCAGAUAUUAUCAUUAUCCAUGUAUAUGCUAGGAUGUUCGAUAAUUUGAUAAUUUCAAGUAGAGUAGUUUAUCAGAUUAAUCCUGGGUACAUAACCCUGACCUGAAGCAUCUGCUGUUGCUAAGGAUGUCAAUGAAGUUCCUUUCUUUUUUUUUGAAAUUGGUAAAAGUUAUAUUCAUCAGCAUUCAGGGCUAUGCUGGCCACCUCCAAAAUUUACAAAAGAGUCAUGGAUAGUUACAAAGAACCUAUAAAAUCCACUAAUUGGAUUUCUUCUUCUAUAUUCUGUUCUUUACGCCAAAAGCCUAAAGUAGUAUGAAGUUCCUUUCUUUAAGUUCAUAGCUGCAGAGAAUUGUAGAAGGCAUUUACAUAAUUGUUUGUCAUCUGAGAUAUCUUGUAUCUGCAUUUGUCCGAUUUGUAAAGAACGAAAGAAAAAAAAAACACGCACUAAUCAUAACUGAGCUUUUGUUGAACUGAAGCAAAAGAAAUGUCUCUAGUGUUCUACAGAAGAAACAAGAUGUUUAGUUUCUAGAGCUUAAAUUUUUCACGUUCAAGAUAAUAAGUUCUUUUGUGUCACAAUUCUGUGCUUCUCGCUGAUUGUUUGUAAUUAUGUCCUUUGAGGACUGUUUUGAGGAAAAAUUUCAAAGCAAUGUUGAAAUUUGGUCUUUUAAGGAAGUAGCCUGUUAAACUAGUGUUUGUAUUCAGUCAGAUUGUUUUUUUUUUUUGCCAAAUUUCUUGUAACUUGUGAUGAAAUUAAGAAAUUAUUCUGUAAAAUGAGUUGUGCUUGGACCAAACAUUAAUUGGGAUCAUAAAACCUGGAAAGGAAGCAAUUUGUCUCUUCUUAAUGCAAGUCCUAAUUCAUAGACAACCCCUUAAAGUUCCCGCGACUUUUCAUUUAGACACCUUAAUUGAAACUGUUACGCAGCAAACACCUAGGGCGUGUUCGGUAUGAUGGAAAGUGUUUUCUAGGAAAAUAAGUGGAUUUCUUACUUUUUUUUAGAUGAAGUAAUUGAUUCAAUUCAUGUCAUCAAAAAGAUACGAAGUAGUUACAAAAGAGUGAGUGUGUUCGGUACGCAGGCAAAAUUUUUUAUCCUAAAAGCAUUUGUAUAUAAUUUGAACAAUACUAUGAGAGGUGAAGGUGAAGCGUAGGGUGUGUGGGGUGGUGGGGAUGGGGGCUACAUGGGUGAUGCUGAAGAUGAGGUGUGUUGGAAAGUCGGAAGGACACUAUCAAUGUGGAAUCCCACUUGUGUAACUUGUUUACAUUUUCCAAAAAAUGUGUUCGUCCAUACCGAACAAACCCCCUAAUGAGUAAUGUAUAUCUAAAAUGUGCCUAUUGAACACGUCAUGCUUAGCUAGUAAAAAAUAAAAUGUGUGAGUUUAAUGUGAGGAUGUGGCAAAUUAGCAAAUUGAACAAAACCACGUGACUUUUGAAUCCAACUAAUAAAAAAGGAAAAAGAAAACACUAGUUUUUGUAUUCAGCCUGAAUGUUUUUUUUUUCCGCCAAAUUUCUUUUGACUGUUUUUUGAUUCAGUCGAUAGUAUUCAUUGAAUUAGAGCAAAUUUCAAUAGUUCUGGAACAAGCUUCCACCACAUCCCAACUUACAAAAAAAGAACAGGUACUACUACUAUAGCAGAAAUAUAUACUCUACAGGAACCAUAGAAUAAUGAUGAUGGAGAUGUAUUGCGGCCUUCUCCUGUUCAUCAACUCAAACCUCAUACUAAUUACACCAUAAUUUAACCACCACACCAAGCAGAAUCCCAUGUCCUUUACCAACAUUAACAUAACUGCUCUUCUUUUCUUGACAGCAAGACUUUUGCAGACUCAUCAAAACUCAGAACCAAAUCUCCCCUCUACCCCCAAAACCACAAAAGUCCUGUCCUGUCUCUUGAGAGCAUCCCCACAACAUCCAUAGCAGUCACCCUCUUCCUACGAGCAUGCUCAGUAUAAGUAACAACAUCACAAAUCACAUUCUCCAAGAAGAUCUGAGCACCCCCCGAGUCUCCUCAUAGAUUAGCCCACUGAUACACUUCACUGCCCCUCUACAUGCCAAAUGCCUAAUGGCUGGCUUUGUGAUUCAAUGAAUGUUAUCACAGAGGACCUUACGGUGAAGCUUUGCUCCUCCCUUUCCCAAACCUUUUCCUCCCCUUCCACGACCCGACAUGUUCAGUCAACCUUUAGUUUCUCUGAAAUUGGAAGCUUCUGAAUUUCUAAGAGUGUUAGGGAGACAAUGAUGAAGACAAAUUUCUUGUAACUUGUGUGAUGAAUUAGGAAAUUAUUCUGUAAAAUGAGUUGUGCUUGGACAAAACAUGCUUGGGAUCAUAAAACCUGGAAAGGAAGUAAUUUAUCUCUUCUUAAUGCAAGUCCAAAUACAUAGGCAACCUCUUACAGUUGCCGCAGCCUUUUAUUUACACACCUUAAUUGAAGCUGUUACCCAUCAAACACCUAAUGUAUGUCUAAAAUGUGCCUAUUGAACACGUCAUGCCUAGUUAGUAAAAAUAAAAUGCAUGAGUUCACAUGCGAUGAUGUGGUAAAAUGGCAAAUCGAACAAAGCCAUGUAGAUUUUGAAUCCAACUAAUUGAAAAAGGAAAAAGAAAACACUAUCUUUAGAAAAAAAAAACCUCCCACCUUGUCAUCUUCCCCAACCUCAUCCUUCCUUCCCUUGUCUGGUUUCUCUCCGGUUCAUUCCUCCAUUUUCUUCCUUACCCCAUGAAAAUCUCUCCAUAAAUUUGCUCUCGAAAUACCUCAAAAAAUAAGAAAAAAUAGAAAUAUGUCACUCUAUUCUAAACAACACUAAUCAUGCCUAUAAAUACUCAAGUCAUCCCUACCUUACUCAGCUGCCCAACAGUACAACUAAACCUCAAUCCCAAGCAAGUUGGGGUCGGCUAUAGGAAUCCUCACUAACCAUAUUACUUCAGUUAAACCAUCUGAGGCCAACAUUAUAUAAAGUAAUAGUAAUAAAAUCAAGCAACAUAAAAAGUACUAGAAGUUCUUUAUAUUUUGCUACGAUAAACAACUCCGAUUAAAGUAUAGGACAUAAAGUAAAAGUGUUAGCAUGACUAAAACAUAUUCUUAAUUAAUAGGUAUCUCCUACAUAGAUCUUUUUCUUCCAUUGUGCCCUAUCUUUCACUAAGCCUUGCAUGAACCUCACUAGAUUGUAAAUCUUUCAAUACAACUUCCUUCCAAGUGAUUUAGGUACCUCUUCCCUUUUUAUUACUUUCUCUCACCACAUAUCUACAAACCGGUGGAUUUGAAGUUCGAUGCAAGACAUAAACAUGCCAUCUCAAGUGACCUCUUAUUUUUUCCUCGAUGUGUGCUACUUGAACCUUCUUGUGAAUGCGAUUGUUUCUAAUCUUGUCUAGUCUUGUGUGACUGCCCAUCCAUCUUAGCGCCUUCAUUUCCAUGCCACUCAUCUUGAUGUUUAACUUUAGAGACCCAACAAUAGAGUUAUCUUUUCUCAGGCAAAGUUAUAUAAACCACGUUUCAAGGCUACAAAAUCACCGACUGUCGAUGGAUGCUUUGUUAGACUGAACAAAUGAGGUUCAUCAUCUUCUUUUUCUUCUACUUGUUCAUGGGUUGCCAUCCCCUUAGUUUCGGUAAAUUUAGGUGUUGAUACAAUAGUGGGUGUCAGGGGUUUUGCUUGAAAUUGGAAGGCCGUCAAUCUGUGGGGUUGGAAUGGUGUAGUGAAUCACCAUUCACUAUACUGGGUAUGUUGUUGUUGAAUGGUGUAGUGAAUCACCAUUCACUACACGGGGUAUGUUGUUGUUGUUGAAUGGUGUAGUGAAUUUGCACUGGGUAUGUUUUUGUUGUUGUUGAAUGGUGUAGUGAAUGGAUGAUGUGCUGUAGUAGUAAAAGCUGGGCGUUCUAUUUAUUAAUGGUGUUGUAUCCAUUGAUGAGUCUUGGUUUCUAAUGGUAUUUCUCUUAUUGGAACUGAAGGAUGCUAGUUGGUAUUUUUCGCUGGUGGGAUUCUAUUUAGGAGGGAGAGAUGAAGGCUGCGGUGGUUUCUGGUGAUUGGUAGUAUGUCCAAACUGAUGUGGGGAGGUGGUGGCAGCAGCAGAGAGGAGCUGGAGGAGAAAGAAGAAAGAAAUAAAACAAAAAUAUUACAUUACAAUUCAUGAGCUCAAAACUGUGAAAGCCACUCAUUCUGCCA